This 253-nucleotide ribosomal RNA is filed under the name uncultured bacterium. Its description in RNAcentral is "partial 16S ribosomal RNA". It matches the Rfam family "Bacterial small subunit ribosomal RNA", at positions 524 to 776 of the family's 1533-position model. The record is from RNAcentral.
UACGGGGGGGGCAAGCGUUGUUCGGAAUUACUGGGCGUAAAGGGCUCGUAGGCGGCCAACUAAGUCAGACGUGAAAUCCCUCGGCUCAACUUGGGAACUGCGUCUGAUACUGGAUGGCUUGAAUUCGGGAGAGGGAUGCAGAAUUCCAGGUGUAGCGGUGAAAUGCGUAGAUAUCUGGAGGAAUACCGGUGGCGAAGGCGGCAUCCUGGACCGACAUUGACGCUGAUGAGCGAAAGCUAGGGGAGCAAACGGG